This 284-nucleotide unclassified non-coding RNA is filed under the name uncultured Hypocreales. RNAcentral describes it as "sequence contains 5.8S rRNA gene, ITS2, 28S rRNA gene". The stretch from base 1 to 52 matches the Rfam family "5.8S ribosomal RNA", at positions 103 to 154 of the family's 154-position model. The record is from RNAcentral. Lineage: Eukaryota; Fungi; Ascomycota; Sordariomycetes; Hypocreales.
AACGCACAUUGCGCCCGCCAGUAUUCUGGCGGGCAUGCCUGUUCGAGCGUCAUUUCAACCCUCGAAGCCCCUCCGGGGGCAUCGGUGUUGGGGACCGGCCCGCCGCUUUCAAAGCCAGGCGGCGCCGCCCCCGAAAUGCAUUGGCGGUCUCGCCGCAGCCUCCCCUGCGUAGUAGCUCUUUCACCGGAACCUCGCACCGGAGCGCGGCCUGGCCACGCCGUAAAACCCCCCAACUUCUCUGAAAUGUUGACCUCGGAUCAGGUAGGAAUACCCGCUGAACUUAA